UCUGAGUGAAUCGCCAGAUGUCAGCUGCGAGUUUUCCUGUGGAGCUAACUACACCCCAAAGGCUCUUUUAAUAGCCACAGCACUGGGCAUCUUUGGCUUUAUCAGCUGUCAUGGAGGCCAUGCAGCCAAGACCAACUGGGAUGCUUGUUGCCAUAUUUCUUUUUGUUGCACUAUUGUCAUGAUCUCUGCUUUG
This is a long non-coding RNA of Sinocyclocheilus rhinocerous, 193 nucleotides long. RefSeq lists it as uncharacterized. Lineage: Eukaryota; Metazoa; Chordata; Actinopteri; Cypriniformes; Cyprinidae. The transcript is spliced from 3 exons. The record is from RefSeq and is a predicted model, not a curated record.